CAUCAACUAUAAUUGAAGUGUGCCCCUCUGCUGCCACCUCGUGUGCAACCUGGGAAUAACAUCUUCGUGCCUUUCAGCAGUUUUGAAGAGCCGGCCUUGUGUAAUUAUCGGCUGGGACACAGCUAACUUCUGACACCGCUGAAGCCGAGAGAUAAUGGACAGCUGCCAGCAAAGCAAUGAAAAAAUAUCCUUGGGUGAGGAUUAAAAAACAAAACAAAACAAAACCAAAACAGGUAAAACCUUUGCUCUACCCAUUGUGACUAGCUUGGUUGAGCAUCGUCCCAUGCAUCAAAAGGUCACCUGUUCAAUUCCAGGUCUGGAUACAUGCCCAGGUUGUGGGUUCAACAAAAGGCAACUGAUGAAUCUCACCAUUUGUGAUGGAUAUACCUCUCACAUGGAUGUUUCUCUCUUUUUCCCUCUGUUUUCCUAUCUCUGAAAUCAAUA
Long non-coding RNA from Myotis lucifugus (little brown bat), 444 nucleotides. RefSeq lists it as uncharacterized. The record is from RefSeq and is a predicted model, not a curated record. The transcript is spliced from 3 exons. NCBI's taxonomy places the organism in Eukaryota, Metazoa, Chordata, Mammalia, Chiroptera, Vespertilionidae.